RNAcentral lists this ribosomal RNA (253 nucleotides) under uncultured bacterium. Its description in RNAcentral is "partial 16S ribosomal RNA". It matches the Rfam family "Bacterial small subunit ribosomal RNA", at positions 524 to 776 of the family's 1533-position model. The record is from RNAcentral.
UACGUAGGAUCCAAGCGUUGUCCGGAUUUACUGGGUGUAAAGGGUGCGCAGGCGGGCUGGUAAGUCUGGGGUGAAAUCUCGCCGCUUAACGGCGAAACUGCCUUAGAUACUAUCAGUCUUGGAUAAGCGAGAGGUUCGUGGAAUUCCGAGUGUAGCAGUGAAAUGUGUAGAUAUUCGGAAGAACACCAGUGGCGAAGGCAGCGAACUGGCGCUUUAUCGACGCUCAGGCACGAAAGCAUGGGGAUCAAACAGG